GAUGAACGCUGGCGGCGUGCCUAAUACAUGCAAGUCGAACGCUGAAGGAGGAGCUUGCUCUUCUGGAUGAGUUGCGAACGGGUGAGUAACGCGUAGGUAACCUGCCUGGUAGCGGGUGCUAACUAUUGGAAACGAUAGCUAAUACCGCAUGACAACAGAUAUUGCAUGAUAACUGUUUAAGAGGGGCAACUGCUCCACUACCAGAUGGACCUGCGUUGUAUUAGCUAGUUGGUGAGGUAACGGCUCACCCAGGCGACGAUACAUAGCCGACCUGAGAGGGUGAUCGGCCACACUGGGACUGAGACACGGCACAGACUCCUACGGGAGGCAGCAGUAGGGAAUCUGCGGCAAUGGACGGAAGUCUGACCGAGCAACGCCGCGUGAGUGAAGUAGGUGUUCGGGUCGUAAAGCUUUGUUGUAAGAGAAGAACGAGUGUGAGAGUGGAAAGUUCACGCUGUGACGGUAUCUUACCAGAAAGGGACGGCUAACUACGUG
This 495-nucleotide ribosomal RNA is filed under the name uncultured bacterium. RNAcentral describes it as "partial 16S ribosomal RNA". It matches the Rfam family "Bacterial small subunit ribosomal RNA", at positions 28 to 507 of the family's 1533-position model. The record is from RNAcentral.